This 484-nucleotide ribosomal RNA is filed under the name uncultured bacterium. Its description in RNAcentral is "bacterial SSU rRNA". It matches the Rfam family "Bacterial small subunit ribosomal RNA", at positions 28 to 507 of the family's 1533-position model. The record is from RNAcentral.
GAUGAACGCUAGCUACAGGCUUAACACAUGCAAGUCGAGGGGCAGCGCAGUGUAGCAAUACAUGGGCGGCGACCGGCGCACGGGUGCGUAACGCGUAUCCAACCUUCCCGUUACUCAGGGAUAGCCUUCCGAAAGGGAGAUUAAUACCCCAUAGUAUUGGAUUUAGGCAUCUUUAUCCAAUUAAAGAAUUUCGGAAACGGAUAGGCUCGCGUGACAUUAGCUAGAUGGCGGGGUAACGGCCCACCAUGGCGACGAUGUCUAGGGGUUCUGAGAGGAAGGUCCCCCACACUGGAACUGAGACACGGUCCAGACUCCUACGGGAGGCAGCAGUGAGGAAUAUUGGUCAAUGGUCGAAAGACUGAACCAGCCAUGCCGCGUGAAGGUGACGGCCCUAUGGGUCUUAAACUUCUUUUGUAAGGGAGCAAUAAGGUUCACGUGUGGACUGAUGAGAGUACCUUACGAAUAAGCAUCGGCUAACUCCGUG